AGAGUUUGAUCCUGGCUCAGAACGAACGCUGGCGGCAUGCCUAACACAUGCAAGUCGAACGCUUACCCGGUUUUGGCCGGGUAGGAGUGGCGCACGGGUGAGUAGCGCGUGGGAACCUGCCCUGUUGUGGGGGAUAACCGAGGGAAACUUCGGCUAAUACCGCAUAAGCCGGUUGUCUUGAGAGAGAGGGCCGGGAAAGAUUUAUCGCGACAGGAGGGGCCCGCGUCGGAUUAGCUAGUUGGUGGGGUAACGGCCUACCAAGGCACCGAUCCGUAGCUGGUCUGAGAGGAUGAUCAGCCACACUGGGACUGAGACACGGCCCAGACUCCUACGGGAGGCAGCAGUGGGGAAUAUUGGACAAUGGGCGCAAGCCUGAUCCAGCAAUGCCGCGUGAGUGAUGAAGGCCUUCGGGUUGUAAAGCUCUUUCGGCGGGGACGAUGAUGACGGUACCCGCAGAAGAAGCCCCGGCUAACUUCGUGCCAGCAGCCGCGGUAAUACGAAGGGGGCGAGCGUUGUUCGGAUUUACUGGGCGUAAAGGGCGCGUAGGCGGCGCGAGAAGUCAGGCGUGAAAGCCCCGGGCUCAACCUGGGAAUGGCGCUUGGGACUCUCGUGCUCGAGUUCGGGAGAGGAGAGUGGAAUUCCCAGUGUAGAGGUGAAAUUCGUAGAUAUUGGGAAGAACACCGGUGGCGAAGGCGGCUCUCUGGACCGAGACUGACGCUGAGGCGCGAAAGCGUGGGGAGCAAACAGGAUUAGAUACCCUAGUAGUCC
Molecule: ribosomal RNA, 768 nt
Filed under: uncultured bacterium
Lineage: Bacteria
Description: bacterial SSU rRNA
Rfam family: Bacterial small subunit ribosomal RNA
Source: RNAcentral